This 440-nucleotide ribosomal RNA is filed under the name uncultured bacterium. RNAcentral describes it as "partial 16S ribosomal RNA". It matches the Rfam family "Bacterial small subunit ribosomal RNA", at positions 338 to 795 of the family's 1533-position model. The record is from RNAcentral.
CCUACGGGAGGCAGCAGUGGGGAAUAUUGCUCAAUGGGGGAAACCCUGAAGCAGCAACGCCGCGUGAAGGAUGAAGGUUUUCUGAGUGUAAACUCCUUUUGUUCGAGGAGCAAAUGACGGUAUCUACCGACUCAGCACCGACUCACUCCAUACCAACCGCCGCAGUCAUACGGAGGGUGCAAGCGGUACUCGGAAUCACUGGGCGUAAACGGCGCGUAGGCGGGAUAGCAAGUCAGAUGUGAAAUCCUAUGGCUUAACCAUAGAACUGCAGUUGAAACUGUUAGUCUAGAGUAUGGGAGAGGUAGGUGGAAUGCGUGGUGUAGGGGUAAAAUCCGUAGAGAUCACGCAGAACACUCAUUGCGAAGGCGACCUGCCAGAACAUAACUGACGCUGAUGCGCGAAAGCGUGGGGAGCAAACAGGAUUAGAUACCCCUGUAGUC